Molecule: long non-coding RNA, 828 nt
Organism: Canis lupus familiaris (dog)
Lineage: Eukaryota; Metazoa; Chordata; Mammalia; Carnivora; Canidae
Exons: 3
Source: RefSeq, a predicted model, not a curated record
UUGGAGAGGAAGGGGCCAAGGAGUGGCCCAAGGGCUCUUAGCUGUAGAAGGCCUCAAGGCAGUGCCCACUCCACCCCCAUGUGGUUUCACAAACAGGAAGUGGCUGAGCUGUGUUCGAGGUAGGCUUGGCCAGGAGCUUCUUGUCCUUGCCAGGACUUCCGGUGGUGGGACAGAAAGCCACAGGAGAGGGCCAAAGCCCCACCAUGGACAUCCUGCAGCACAUCAGAAAAUACAGCCUGACUUGGGUGUGGACCUUCUGGAAGCUGGGCUGCUACCAGCAGGAACAUUUUAUGCUCUGCUUCUCUGACCCCGUAAAGCCACCCUUUGACAAGCUGAUCUUGAAUGACACCAAGAAGGCUGGACUGGAGCCUCAAGUACAUGUCACACAACUGAAAACUGUGUCUCCAAGCCAGAUGGGAGGGGUCCCCAUGGAGCCAUCAGUCCGCCGUGGAGCCUGUCAGUUCACAGGACGCAUGACAACCAGACCCGCCCACAGUGACUGACCAGAGGGGACAGCUGAGCAGUUAGGGGCCACCAUCCCACAGGUGGUACUUCAUUACCGGGACACAGGAGGUCAGGGCAUUAUUGCCUUCCACUUCCAGAGAAAAGUUCAAGGGCCUCUUGGGCAACCAGAAGUGAGACUGGAUCCUCUCCACCUGGAGAAAGCUUCUCCUUCGAGGCCUCGAAGUGAAGAUUCAUUCGCUGAGUGUCCGUAUUUGCAUUCUAUACAGUAUGUUUUGAAGAACAAACACAUUUUGUUUCAAAUCCACACAGAAAUAAAGACUUUAAGCCAGCGAACAGCUCUGGAAUAUUUCUCCCCUUCCCCAA